RNAcentral lists this long non-coding RNA (597 nucleotides) under Nicotiana benthamiana. Its description in RNAcentral is "long non-coding RNA (NBEN_LNC028345)". The record is from RNAcentral. Lineage: Eukaryota; Viridiplantae; Streptophyta; Magnoliopsida; Solanales; Solanaceae.
UGCCAUAAAAAUUACCUUCAAAAUACAUAAAUACAUGCGAAAAUACAAAAAAAUUAUAUUUGAAUUAAAAUAUAGAAAAUACACUCAAAUUUGAAAGUAUUUGUACAAAUACAAUGAAUUUAUAUCAUUGUAUGUGACUCUAUAGCAAAGAAGAAGAAAAUUCAUUGCAAAUGGCAUCUUCCGGCCAAGCAAAAUAUUGUAUAUAUUGUAUUAAAACUAAAAGCAAAAACCCGGCCAAAUAUGAGUAUACACUAUCAUAUUAUAUCUAUCAAAAUCUAUUCAGAUGAAUGCACUCAUAUGUGAGAUACAAAGAAGGAAAAGAAGCCAUGGAUUCUGAUAACUCCAUUAGAUCAAGAUUUACUGACGCCUCUAAUCUUCUUCCUCUAUUUCGUUCACCGCUAGUAGUGGACCCAUUGCGACUUCGUGAUUUUUAGAUUUAGAUCUGACAAUGGAAAGAGAGAGAGAGAGAGGUGACUAUUUUGUUGGGAUCCGAUAAAGCUCCACCUGAGAAGAUGACUGGGGACGACGGAGUUAGAUGGCGGCCUAGCUGAGGGCGAAGAGAGAGGAAAAAGGAGAGAGAGUUGAUGGAGAAGAGAU